RNAcentral lists this ribosomal RNA (446 nucleotides) under uncultured bacterium. Its description in RNAcentral is "partial 16S ribosomal RNA". It matches the Rfam family "Bacterial small subunit ribosomal RNA", at positions 338 to 795 of the family's 1533-position model. The record is from RNAcentral.
CCUACGGGCGGCAGCAGUCGAGAAUCAUUCACAAUGGGGGAAACCCUGAUGGUGCGACGCCGCGUGGGGGAAUGAAGGUCUUCGGAUUGUAAACCCCUGUCAUGUGGGAGCAAAUUAAAAAGAUAGUACCACAAGAGGAAGAGACGGCUAACUCUGUGCCAGCAGCCGCGGUAAUACAGAGGUCUCAAGCGUUGUUCGGAAUCACUGGGCGUAAAGCGUGCGUAGGCUGUUUCGUAAGUCGUGUGUGAAAGGCGAGGGCUCAACCCGCGGACGGCACAUGAUACUGCGAGACUAGAGUAAUGGAGGGGGAACCGGAAUUCUCGGUAUAGCAGUGAAAUGCGUAGAUAUCGAGAGGAACACUCGUGGCGAAGGCGAGUUCCUGGACAUUAACUGACGCUGAGGCACGAAGGCCAGGGGAGCGAAAGGGAUUAGAUACCCGAGUAGUC